RNAcentral lists this transfer RNA (73 nucleotides) under Micromonosporaceae bacterium. It matches the Rfam family "tRNA". From Rfam's summary of the family: Transfer RNA (tRNA) molecules are approximately 80 nucleotides in length. Their secondary structure includes four short double-helical elements and three loops (D, anti-codon, and T loops). The record is from Rfam by way of RNAcentral. Lineage: Bacteria; Bacillati; Actinomycetota; Actinomycetes; Micromonosporales; Micromonosporaceae.
GGGCCUGUGGCGCAGCAGGUAGCGCGUCUGUUCGGCAGACAGAAGGCCGCCGGUUCGAACCCGGCCAGGUCCA